CCAAUCGAACCCGGAGAUAGCUGGUUCUCCUCGAAAUAGCUUUAGGGCUAGCCUCAUGGAUCAUUGGUGGGGGUAGAGCACUGAAUGUGCGCGGGGGCCACAAAGCCUACCAAACGCUAUCAAACUUCGAAUACCAUACAAUGCAGACCAUGGGAGUCAGUCCGCGAGAGAUAAGUUCCGCGGGCAAAAGGGGAACACCCCAGAUCAACCGCUAAGGUCCCCAAGUUCACGUUAAGUGGAGAAGGAUGUGGAAUUGCACAGACAACCAGGAUGUUGGCUCAGAAGCAGCCACACAUUUAAAGAGUGCGUAAUAGCUCACUGGUCGAGUGAUUGUGCGCCGAAGAUGUCCGGGGCUAAACGUGACACCGAAGCGAUGGGUGCAUCUGAAGAAGAUGCGCGGUAGAGGAGCAAUGUGCAGAGGCAGAAGCCGUAUCGAGAGGCACGGUGGACACUGCACAAGAGAGAAUGCCGGUAUGAGUAGCGAGAGGCAUGCGAGAAACAUGCCCGUCGAAAGCCCAAGGUUUCCUGGGGAAGGUUCAUCCGCCCAGGGUAAGUCGGGGCCUAAGCCGAGGACGGAAGUCGUAGGCGAUGGACAGCAGGUGUAGAUUCCUGCACUACCGAUGGAAUGAAGCAGUGACACAGAAGGAUAACUCGAGCAGGGUGAUGGUCAACCCUGUGCAAGCAUCGAGGUUGGGUUGUAGUGAAGUACGCAACCCUAUAAGCUGAGAUGUGAUGCGGACCGAAAUUUCAGUAGGGAAGCGAGUGAGUUCACGCUGGCGAGAAAAGCUGCUAGUAUAUCCAAAGGUACCCGUACCGGAAACCGACGCAGGUGGGCGAGGAGAGAAUCCUGAGACGAACGGGAGAACCCUUGUUAAGGAACUCGGCAAAAUGACCCCGUAACUUCGGGAUAAGGGGUGCCUGCGAGAGCAGGCCGCAGAGAAUAGUCACAAGCGACUGUUUAGCAAAAACACAGGUAUCUGCGAAAGCGAGAGCUGACGUAUAGGUGCUGACACCUGCCCGGUGCUGGAAGGUUAAGGGAACAUGUUAGAGCAAUCGAAGCAUCGAACCGAAGCCCCAGUAAACGGCGGCCGUAACUAUAACGGUCCUAAGGUAGCGAAAUUCCUUGUCGGGUAAGUUCCGACCCGCACGAAUGGUGUAACGACUUGUGAGCUGUCUCAACAGGGGGCCCGGUGAAAUUGAAGUAUGGGUGAAGAUGCCCAUUACCCGCGACUGGACGGAGAGACCCCGUAGAGCUUUACUGCAGCCUGAUAUUGAGUUUCGGUAACUGAUGCACAGGAUAGGUGGGAGUCUGAGAGACAUGGGUUUCGGCUCGUGUGGAGACGAUGUUGGGAUACCACUCUUCGGUUACUGAAAUUCUAACAUAGCUCUGUGAAACCAGAGGAUGGACAGUGUCAGGUGGACAGUUUGACUGGGGCGGUCGCCUCCGAAAGAGUAACGGAGGCGCCCAAAGGUACCCUCAGAAUGGAUGGAAACCAUUCGAAGAGCGCAAAGGCAGAAGGGUGCCUGACUGCGAGAUUGACAAAUCGAGCAGAGACGAAAGUCGGGCUUAGUGAUCCGGCGGUAUUGAGUGGAAAAGCCGUCGCUUAACGGAUAAAAGCUACCUCGGGGAUAACAGGCUGAUCUCCCCCAAGAGUCCACAUCGACGGGGAGGUUUGGCAC
This 1680-nucleotide ribosomal RNA is filed under the name human gut metagenome. RNAcentral's name for it is "bacterial LSU rRNA". It matches the Rfam family "Bacterial large subunit ribosomal RNA", at positions 829 to 2524 of the family's 2925-position model. The record is from RNAcentral.